CUCGGCCCUUCCACGGUUGUCCAGACAAUAUUGAGAAGCGCUCGGGGUCAGGACUCACCACACAAAUGCUUAAACACACGCUUUCUCUCCCAGCCAGAGCACCUGGAAACUCAAGGAUGACAGAAACGAGAGAAGGAGAAGGUGCUCUAACCUUGACAUGCCGGAGCCCACACUUCCAGCUCCCUUCUCCAUCCAGAUAAGACCUAGGAUCUGAAGAAGAACCCUUUUCUCUAUGAAGGCUAAGAACUUAAAAGGAAACACAGGAUGGCAUUUUCCUGAUCCCAAACUGAAAUGAGAGGACUGUCAAUUGGAUCAUCCACCCUGCCAAGACCACUUCUGGAGUUGCUGUUCUGAGCCACCUAGACGAACGCACAGGCCAGCCCCCGGAACCUGCUCUUCAUUUGCCUUCCAUGCCCAACUUGAACCAGUGAUUUGUUAUGCUUUUUCUUCUCGUUCAGUGCCCACUAUGGAACAAUGGCAGAAUGACAUGAUUGGAACGGAAUGUAGCAAUCAUCUUAUCUGACCGCACGGAUACCUGCCAGGAGAGGAAUGCCUCACUUCCUCGUGAUGAUUUUGAAGACUUUCUGAGAAGGCAC
Equus caballus (horse) is the source of this 596-nucleotide long non-coding RNA. Lineage: Eukaryota; Metazoa; Chordata; Mammalia; Perissodactyla; Equidae. The record is from Ensembl.